CGCCGGGCGCCGUGGCUCACGCCUGUAAUCCAACACUUUGGGAGGCUGAGGCGGGCGGAUCACUUGAGGUCAAGAGUUCAAGACCAGCCUGGCCAACAUGGUGAAACCCCAUCUCUACUAAAAAUACAAAAAUUAGCCAGGUGUGGUGGCGGGUGCCUGUAGUCCCAGCUAUUUGGGAGGCUGAGGCAGGAGAAUCGCUUGAAUCCAGGAGGUGGAGGUUGCAGUACAAUUCUACUCUAAAAGUCACCAGGAAAAAUUCAGCUCCACUGGUCCGGGCUCUAAGUCUACUAGCAAAAUCUUCCAGAGAAGUGGAAAAGCCAUCAGCCAAUGUGUUAGACUAUCAUUUCCAUGACCUUACACCUAUCAAAAAGGCACUAUUACCAGGCUUAUAGAAUUCUAAAAAAGUUGGAAACCAUUUUCCAUUAUAAAAGAAAUUCUUCCAAAUCACACAAAACACUCUGACACUUCUCCAGUUCCCCCUUU
RNAcentral lists this long non-coding RNA (483 nucleotides) under Pan troglodytes (chimpanzee). RNAcentral's name for it is "lincRNA". The record is from RNAcentral. Lineage: Eukaryota; Metazoa; Chordata; Mammalia; Primates; Hominidae.